This 73-nucleotide transfer RNA is filed under the name Elusimicrobiota bacterium. Its description in RNAcentral is "Elusimicrobia bacterium (groundwater metagenome) tRNA-Pro". It matches the Rfam family "tRNA". From Rfam's summary of the family: Transfer RNA (tRNA) molecules are approximately 80 nucleotides in length. The record is from RNAcentral. Lineage: Bacteria; Pseudomonadati; Elusimicrobiota.
CGGGGCGUGGCUCAGCUGGUAGAGCGCUCGGUUCGGGACCGAGAGGCCGUGGGUUCAAAUCCCACCGCCCCGA